This 497-nucleotide ribosomal RNA is filed under the name uncultured bacterium. Its description in RNAcentral is "partial 16S ribosomal RNA". It matches the Rfam family "Bacterial small subunit ribosomal RNA", at positions 28 to 507 of the family's 1533-position model. The record is from RNAcentral.
GAUGAACGCUGGCGGCGUGCCUAAUACAUGCAAGUCGAGCGAACGGACGAGAAGCUUGCUUCUCUGAUGUUAGCGGCGGACGGGUGAGUAACACGUGGAUAACCUACCUAUAAGACUGGGAUAACUUCGGGAAACCGGAGCUAAUACCGGAUAAUAUUUUGAACCGCAUGGUUCAAAAGUGAAAGACGGUCUUGCUGUCACUUAUAGAUGGAUCCGCGCUGCAUUAGCUAGUUGGUAAGGUAACGGCUUACCAAGGCAACGAUGCAUAGCCGACCUGAGAGGGUGAUCGGCCACACUGGAACUGAGACACGGUCCAGACUCCUACGGGAGGCAGCAGUAGGGAAUCUUCCGCAAUGGGCGAAAGCCUGACGGAGCAACGCCGCGUGAGUGAUGACGGUCUUCGGAUCGUAAAACUCUGUUAUUAGGUAAGAACAUAUGUGUAAGUAACUGUGCACAUCUUGACGGUACCUAAUCAGAAAGCCCCGGCUAACUACGUG